CCCAGGAAUCAAACAUAUUACCU
Molecule: microRNA, 23 nt
Filed under: Heliconius melpomene (postman butterfly)
Lineage: Eukaryota; Metazoa; Arthropoda; Insecta; Lepidoptera; Nymphalidae
Description: Hme-Mir-190_3p (mature (co-guide))
Source: RNAcentral